This 262-nucleotide unclassified non-coding RNA is filed under the name plant metagenome. RNAcentral's name for it is "partial contains small subunit ribosomal RNA and internal transcribed spacer 1". The record is from RNAcentral.
AAAGUCGUAAGCAAGGUUUACCGAUGUCAGGUGGAACCACUGCGGGAAAGGGAAUCAUUUAUCCUAUUUUUAAACGGUGUUGGUUGCGGCCUCCGGGGGUAUCCCCCCUGGUGGUAGAGUAAUACUCGCGCGCGCCACAUGCCUUAGUCCUUUUUUACGAGCACCUUUCGUUCUCCUUCGGUGGGGCAACCUGCCGUUGGAACUUAUCAAAAACCUUUUUUGCAUCUAGCAUUACCUGUUCUGAUACAAACAAUCGUUACAA